Fukomys damarensis (Damara mole-rat) is the source of this 3394-nucleotide long non-coding RNA. RefSeq lists it as uncharacterized. Lineage: Eukaryota; Metazoa; Chordata; Mammalia; Rodentia; Bathyergidae. The transcript has 3 exons. The record is from RefSeq and is a predicted model, not a curated record.
GUAUGGAGGUAAGCGGCUCCGGGCUGACCCACGCGCGGCCCCGGCGUGCCGGCAGCACCGCGGCUCACUCACUAGGGGCGUCCCUUGUGGGCUUUCGUCCGUUCCUGCUCUGGCUCUGAGCGCACGCACUCUGUAGCCGCGGCACUCGCACGGCCCCCCCAAAAGGCUGCGGGGGUGGGGGUGGGCGCAGAACGAAGGAGUUGAGCUGUAAGCAGAUUUUCUUUCACUCCUCAGCUCUGGGAAAAGGGCCAGCCCCGUGUCCCGCGCGCCUGGCUCUGCUCCGCAGUUUGCCGAGAGCAGAGAGGCGUUUGAGCAGAGGAGGCGCACGGUUCGGGUCGUGUCACCAUUUCUGAGCUUUGCUGACUGCCCAGAAGCAGGGGACGGCGGCAGCACCACGGAGGUGGGUCCCGUGACACCUGGGAUGUUGUGUCUAGCCCUCUCCCACUACGGAUGGAUUCCAGUCUGGACUGCAGGGAUCCAGGUGAGAACAUGAAGAGUAUUGGCAUUAAAAAGGCAUCUGGUCCCCACUUUUUAGAUACAGAAGUAGGAGAUCCAAGGGGCAAGGGCAAGCCCCCUUUACCUGCUGCAGACACCUUGGCUUCUGCCAGCAACCUUGCAGAUGAAGAUGACUGGUACCUGUCUCCUCUCUGCCUGUAUUAGACACUUCCCUUGCUGCCUGAGGACCUUUGCCUGCUCUCAGAGGACCUGUAACUUAAAAAUUCAUCUCCAGGCUAUUUACCUUACAAAGCAAAUAGCCAAGAAACAGCCACAGUUCUUAACUCUGUGACCUGUCCCUUUAGAAUGAAAAGAACAGGUAGUAGCUAGAAUUUGAGGUGUUGUAAAUAUGGGUGGGCACUUGUUCUUGAAGUUUUAUUUCUGGACCACGUAGCUGAAGCCCAGGCAUCCAGAUGAGAAUGCUCAGUCCAGUCAGUCUCAUGAGGGCUUUGAGAAUUCUGCAGAAUCACCGGGCUGUUUGCAGGAGCUACUAGUCUAGGCUGUAGGCCCAGGGAAGGAGCACUGGGGUGCACAGGCUGGUGAUUUUGUUGGGAUUUCCUCUCCUACCUGCUGAUUCCUUUGGCUCUGUCACUCAGCCUGGUUUGGCAGACUGACUUGAGAGUGGGCGAAGAGGGGCAGUCAUCAUAAUAUUGUUAUAAAGUAACAUGAGUUGAGAAUAGGCACUGUGUCACCUGCUAGGUUUGAGACUGUGAUGUCCUAGACCUGAAGUCCACCCUAACUGCAAGUUCUGAGAAGCAUGAGAGUGGAUCAGUUGGUGCUGCCCUGAGGUUAAGCAGAGUCUGAUUGCAGAGUUGGGCCCUCUUUCCCACUGAGGCCAUGUAACUGGAGAGGCAGUCAUGGCCCACCAUAACAUUCAGUAAUGUCUGUGGUUGAGGCAGGGGGCCCUGUUUCCCCUCUAAAUCCUCUUCAUCAGCUAACUCCAGUCAGCUCAAACUGGGAAGGUUUUGAAGGGAGGGGCACGUGGGUGAGAUCUUGAAAGAUGGAGCAACUACCACAAAGUUGAGGCAACGGGGGGGGGGCGGUUUAGCAGGUUAGGACUGGAAGUAAAUGCAGCAGGAGAUGCAGUGGGAUUUGCAUCAGGAAUAGGGGUUGACCAUUUGGUGUUAAAGAGAUCAAUCUUGUGAGUAUGUUGUAAAACUGGGCCAUUGUGAAAGUCCAGGCUCAUCAUAGAAGAUCUUGCUCUCUCAUCCUGAGGGAUAUUUAAGGAUGAGAAUGUGGGGUAUUCUUUGAUUAGAUUCUUUUUAGGAAUUAGGAAAAGCUUAGAAGCCUAUUGCUGACAUUGUGGAACAAUGGGAAGGAGUGAAUUGGAAUCUUGAUGUGUGUUAUGAUGUCCAGCAAGAGAGGUGUUCUUGCUCGGGUGUGAACAGGUGGAGCCUUAAAGAACUGGAUGCAUUCUUGUCUGUGGGACAAUGUCUGUAACUUGACACAUGCUGUCUAGUCCAGGCUUGCAGAGUUCCAAAGCCUGGGUGGAGAACAUGGCUUAGUCCGAGGGAGCUCCGCCCACUGCAUGCCCCUCCCACCCGAACUGACUGCCCGGGCUGAUGGCGCCACCUUAUGGUCAGAGGGGGAACUGAAUGACCAAACAGCCUGGUUCAAGGGCCUGGGCCCUAGUAUUACGUCUCCUCCUUUCUAAGUUUCCUUACUUUUUCCUUAACAAGUUAGUCAAUAGUGAUUUAGGCAGUCUUCUCACAAUGAGAUAUUUUAAUUUUCUCCAUCAAAGAAAUUGCUCUCAAGCUUUUUUUCUCUUCCUGCUCCAUCCUUCGCUGUCUUACUUUGUGAGCCUAAAAUCCACCCUAGUCAUGGCUCCUGUGUGUCCUGCCCACAGGAAGAAAAAUGACAAAUUAUUGUAGUGAAAAUAGAAAAUUACAUUCAAAAUUACAGACUGCUGCUGUCAUGCCUAUGAAAAUUUUGCAAGCAGAGGUCUUUCCCUAAAAUAAUAUCUAUAGUCCUUCUAAUCUAAUUAACCCAAUUGUUUAAUCCAAUAGAAUUCAAGACAAAGACUAUAUUUAAUAUUUGUAUUUAUUACUAAUACUACAAAAAUAUGUUCUACUAAUUUUCCCUCUAAAAACACAAAACUUCAACAGCGUUAUAAAUUAAGAAGGCUUUUCUGGGGCUAGCCUGGAAACCUAAAAUUUAUAAUAUUGUUUUUAGCUGGAUGUAGUUGCAUGUGCCUUUAGUCUCAACUACUUGGGAGGAUGAAAAAGGAGGAUGGCUUGAGCCCAGGAGUUGGAGGUCAGCUUGGGCUACACAGUGAGACCUUGAUCACAAAAUACAUGCAUCACACAUUUAUAUAUACAUAUUUAUUUUUGGAGGAAAAUAUAUCUUGAGUCCUAAAAUAAUCAACUCUCAAAGCGUUGGAACAUAACACAUUUGUGAAUUGGGCAUUUCCUCUAUGUUACUGAUCAAUAGUCAGAAUGUUCAUGGAUUGAAUGGAAAUACAAAUGAUAAAAAGGAAUUUUUAAAAGCCUAAGAGAACAGGAACACUGCACCCCUAGCAAUAAAUCCAUUUACUGGAAAGAAUGUAAGGCAGUAAACAUUGGAUGCCUCUUGUGACCUGAACACUGUUAGUGCCUUGCUUUAAAGCUUACAUUUUCUCAGAUGCCCUCUCUGUUUUCUUUGGGCCUUCGUUUUUUGCUUUCUUGUUGCUCGCUGAGACAAAUUCCAGGAGAAACUAUCCCAAGGACUGGGUUGCCUGGGUUCCACCAAGGGAGCUGGUUGAGCACAGAGGUCGGCAUUUUCGUGGUAGAUUCUGUGGAGCUUUCCCUGGCUAAGCUUCAGUUUUGCUCUGAGAAAUGUUGAAUUUCGGGUGGGUAAAGAAAAAAUCUUUUUCUUUGUGGGAGAAGUUCUUGUACCUUUAUAUAAUGUAUCUUGAUUCUUA